Gallus gallus (chicken) is the source of this 100-nucleotide microRNA precursor. The record is from Ensembl. NCBI's taxonomy places the organism in Eukaryota, Metazoa, Chordata, Aves, Galliformes, Phasianidae.
AAAACCCUGGUUUGGAUUAAGGACCCACUGGAUCUGCAUCUUCCAAACUUGGGAGAGGAGAGCCUGUGGGCCAGAAAUCCCACCAGCACUGCACCAUGCC